Molecule: long non-coding RNA, 2274 nt
Filed under: Homo sapiens (human)
Lineage: Eukaryota; Metazoa; Chordata; Mammalia; Primates; Hominidae
Description: HSALNT0315313
Source: RNAcentral
GUAGGUUCUUUAAGCAUUGACGAGCUAAAGACCAUUUUAAAUUCUAAGCCUAGGGAAGCUUACAAUGGAACUAAUCAGAUGUUUUUAUGUCGGUUUGUUCCGAGACAGUGGAAGACUGGAGGUCAUGUGCUUGUGUCUAAUGUUUAGCAAAAUCUUAGUGAAACGAGGGCGAUAGGAAUGGGGGCUGGGGAAGACUUAGAUGGGAUAAAAAGAGGUGCGGCUGGAAGAACUAAAUCACUUUAAAACUUCUGAAAAUAAAUGUUGACCAUUGUAGUCAGAGGAGUAAAAUGUUCAGAGAAAUGGGGAUGAUUAAACAAGAACGGCAAGCCAGAUUGAGUCAGAAAAUUAUCUUCCUGCCAGAAAUUCUGUCUCCCACAACGGCAUCAGGGGGUGGUUACUUGCCCAGGGUGUAGUCAGUUUUUAAAAAGCUUAAGGGUUACCAACAUAUUCCUAAAUUUCCUGAAUUUGCUGUGAUUCCAGGAUUCAUUUAAACUCUUGAGACUGUUUUACUUUCGGCACGAAAUCAGCUCAUGGGCUUUAUAAAUGUAGAACCUACUGCAUUAUAGUUCUUCUUUUUGUUUAUUCUAAAACUGUUAGUAGCAGCCAGCGUAUUAUAUGAUUUGGAUUGGGCCAUGAACAACCGUAACGAGUGAUAAAGCACCCUUUCCUGUUCCAAUGCAAAGAACAACUAUGAAAAGAAAGUACUGGCAAAUUUAUCAUCUUGUAGUUAGUUCCUGGCCAAAGAAAAUGGUAAGGCCAUUCUUUUAAGCAGUUAAAAAAAAAUGGGGAUGGGCUCUUAAACUUUGGCAUGCUAAGGCCAUUCUUUUAAGCAGUUUAAAAAAAUGGGGAUGGGCUCCUAAACUUUGACAUACUAAAGCAGUCGUCAUUUAGGUAAAAUCUAAGUCUUAAUGGAAAUCGUGAUUUCAUAUCUACUGCAGCGUUAGCAAUCACAUAAUGAUAACUUAAAUCAGUAAAUCGUUGAACUCGGUUCUCUAAUCUUUGAAGAAUAGAAAUACUUUUUAUCCCAAAAGAUGUUUUGAGAAUUAAAUUUGCAGAGAAUUUUUUAGGUCUUUAGUUGUAAUUUAUAGAGCUAGGUCUUUUAACUUUAGUGGAAACCAUGCCCUCCAAACCCAAGUGACUGGAGUCAGAAUGUGAAAUAAGACGACAUAAAAUCCCUAUUUCUUAAGGGGCUGGGCGAAAGUAAUGGAACAAAAUGUAACGUUAUGCUAUUGUGGCAGAGAUAGCUAAUGGAAUGUUUCAUUUCUAAGUCUGUAAUUUCAGUAAUUGUUAGAGGCAGUUUUCCAUCAAUAAGUUAGAUCAAAUGGUUAAACCCAAUAUGAAUUUAUAAAAGCUUAAUUUAAUUUUGGAUUGAUUUACCAGAUGUUUAAGGUGGUUAUAAUGGGUAGUGUUGAUGGUGGUGCUUUUGGAAAAAUGAGUAUUAUAUGCCUGCUCAUCCCUUUACAUUAUCUUAUCAUAUAAACUUCUUGAUUACUCGUUAUGAUACUCUUAAAUCGUACAUUUAGAGGAAAAAUCUUAAAGUAAUCUGUAAGACCAUUUCUCCUUAAAAUGAUAUAUUAUGAGAUGAAAGGAAAGAUAAAGAUAAUUUAGAAGAGAUCCAGAAGUGGACUAAAUUUCUGGUAAGGAGGGGGCUAAAGAUGUUAAAAGACAUCUUAGGAAAAGCAUAUGAUUUAUAACUUUUAAAAGUGUCAUUUAGAUGGUUAAGGAUUUGUGUUUAAUAGUUCUCUUGAAAAUAUUGUUUUCCAAAAGUUUAAAAGCCCUAGCUACUUUUAUACAUUUGCCCUUAAAAAAUGUACAGAAUUUAUUACAUCAAACUGCUACAAAGAAAUAAGAAUUCUGAUUUUUGCAAGUCUUAUAUUUUAGUAGGGGAAACAACCACCAAAGAAAUAAGCAAAAAAAUAUAAUUUCAAAUAUUCAUAAGUGUUAAGAAAAAAAUGAAACAAUAAUGCAAGGUGGGAAAGGAGACAGUGUACCUUACUCAGAUGUACUGUAGGUAGGCCUGAGGAAAUGUUCUUUGAGCUAAGGACAAGCUCAUCAGGGGAGCAUUUGAUUAAGGGAGACAGAUGAGGCAAUGGCUUUGUGCUGGAAACCAGUAUGUGGUUGGAAGGGAGCAGGGGGCAUCUGAGUAGUAGGCAAGGGCUAGAUCAUAUGGACAUUGUUGGCCACGUAAAGGCACAGAUAUUUUAUUUUAAAUGCAUUGAGAAGCCACAGGCAGGUUAUAAGCAGAGGAUUAACAUGAUCUGAUUUACAUUUACA